UUAAUAACACGUCAUACACCUAGGCAAUAGGUUUCCUUGUGCCACAGGGCCUCAGGUAUUUCUCAAUUAUUAGAGAAAGAAGGUUGCCAUCUUCCAAUAAUAUUAGAGCCAGAUUCAUCUCUAUAUUCUUGGUUUCCUAAUGUUAUACGCACUACAUGUCUAACCAUAGGCGUUUGAAGUGUCCUCCAUUGGUAGAGGGAAAUGGAAAUGGACUAUUGUCCAGGUCUUGGUCUUGGACAAUCUUCAAUCAUGAGGUAUCUCUUGCAAUUGAGUUAGGCCCAACUUCCAUUAUCCUCUUAUAUGCUCUUGGACAAUCCUCACCUCAUAAGGUAGCUCUUGGAAUUGAGUUGGGC
Molecule: long non-coding RNA, 353 nt
Filed under: Capsicum annuum
Lineage: Eukaryota; Viridiplantae; Streptophyta; Magnoliopsida; Solanales; Solanaceae
Description: long non-coding RNA (CANN_LNC001429)
Source: RNAcentral